RNAcentral lists this ribosomal RNA (476 nucleotides) under uncultured bacterium. RNAcentral's name for it is "SSU rRNA". It matches the Rfam family "Bacterial small subunit ribosomal RNA", at positions 26 to 521 of the family's 1533-position model. The record is from RNAcentral.
AGGAUGAACGCUGGCGGCGUGCCUAACACAUGCAAGUCGAACGUCCUGUCUCGCAAGAGGCAGGGAGUGGCGGACGGGUGAGUACUACGUGGGUCAUCUACCGUGAGGUGAGGAAUACCGGCGAGAAAUCGCCGACAAGACCGCAUAGGCUCGAUGCAAGUCGAGCAAAGCUCUUUCGAGAGAGGGAGCGCCACACGAGGAGCCUGCGCCCGAUUAGCUAGCUGGUGGAGUAACGGUUCACCAGGGCGACGAUCGGUAGCUGGUCUGAGAGGACGAUCAGCCACACUGGGAUUGAGAACGGCCCAGACUCCUACGGGGGGCAGCAGUGAGGAAUUUUCGUCAAUGGGGGCAACCCUGAACGAGCAACGCCGCGUGCAGGAAGAAGGUUUUCGGAUCGUAAACUGCUUUUCUCGGGGAAGAGAACGGACGGUACCCGAGGAAUCAGCCCCGGCUAACUACGCGCCAGCAGCCGCGGU